RNAcentral lists this transfer RNA (68 nucleotides) under pig gut metagenome. It matches the Rfam family "tRNA". Rfam says of the family: Transfer RNA (tRNA) molecules are approximately 80 nucleotides in length. The record is from RNAcentral.
GAAAUAGCUCAGCUUGGUAGAGCGCUUGGUUUGGGACCAAGAUGUCGCGGGUUCAAAUCCUGUUUUCC